RNAcentral lists this ribosomal RNA (403 nucleotides) under uncultured bacterium. Its description in RNAcentral is "bacterial SSU rRNA". It matches the Rfam family "Bacterial small subunit ribosomal RNA", at positions 355 to 775 of the family's 1533-position model. The record is from RNAcentral.
UAGGGAAUAUUAGCAAUGGGCGAAAGCCUGAACUAGCAACGCCGCGUGUGCGAAGAAGGCCUUCGGGUUGUAAAGCACUUUUUGAGAGGAUGAGGAAGGACGGUACUCUCAGAAUAAGUCUCGGCUAACUACGUGCCAGCAGCCGUGGUAACACGUAGGAGGCGAACGUUAUCCGGAUUUACUGGGCGUAAAGCGCGUGUAGGUGGUUUGGUAAGUAGGGCGUGAAAGCUCCUGGCUCAACUGGGAGAGGCCGUUCUAAACUGCCGAACUAGAGGAUGGCAGAGGGAGGUGGAAUUCCGGGUGUAGCGGUGGAAUGCGCAGAUAUCCGGAGGAACACCAGUGGCGAAAGCGGCCUCCUGGACCAUUCCUGACACUCAGACGCGAAAGCUAGGGUAGCAAACGG